Long non-coding RNA from Canis lupus familiaris (dog), 748 nucleotides. RefSeq lists it as uncharacterized. The transcript is spliced from 3 exons. The record is from RefSeq and is a predicted model, not a curated record. NCBI's taxonomy places the organism in Eukaryota, Metazoa, Chordata, Mammalia, Carnivora, Canidae.
GGUGCUCUACAGAUUAUCUGCUGAGUAAAUGGCAUCUUGACAAGGUCCUGCCCUUGAGGGGAAGAAAACAAGAAAAAUAAGGGAGAACAAUAAACAAAGGAAUAUACAGAGCCAUACAGAUGAUUUAACAGGAGUGACAAAAGUGUCCUGCCCACACUUUGUAUUUGGCCCAGCACAAGUGCAGAUAACAUGAAGGACAAACAUGAAAACUGACCAACUACAGGCCUUCCUCAACUUAUUAUGAAGUCACGUCCUGACAGACUACUGUAAGAAUGGACUGGACCACUGCUACCCUGCUUUGGAUUUCAGCCACUGCCAUAAUUCACACCUUAGCAAGAAGAACACAAGUUCUCAGUUCUAAGAUCCUCUGCCUUUGGGUAUAAAAUGUAGUGAUUCGACAUUCUGUACAUUACUCACUGCUCACCACUUUAAGUGUUGUAAACAUCUGUCACCACACGACAUUAUUAUGAUAUUAUUGACUAUAUUCCUAUGCUGUACUUUUCAUCUUCAUGACUUAUUUAUUUUAAAACUGGAAGUUUGUACCUCUCAAUCUCCUUAGUGAUUUUACCUAUCCUCCUCACUCUUCUCCCCUCUUGCAAAGACCAGUUUGUUCCUUAUGUUUAUGAGUCUAUUUCUGUUUUAUUGUCUGUUUGCGAAUGGGUAUGGAGUUUCUCCUUUUUGCAAUGUUGAAACUGUUCUUCAAUUGGGAUGAUGGUUGCAUAACUCUGUGAGUAUAACUAAAACUUUA